Molecule: ribosomal RNA, 498 nt
Filed under: uncultured bacterium
Lineage: Bacteria
Description: partial 16S ribosomal RNA
Rfam family: Bacterial small subunit ribosomal RNA
Source: RNAcentral
GACGAACGCUGGCGGCGUGCCUAAUACAUGCAAGUCGAACGAGAGCGACCGGUGCUUGCACUGGUCAAUCUAGUGGCGAACGGGUGAGUAACACGUGGGUAACCUGCCCAUCAGAGGGGGAUAACAUCCGGAAACGGAUGCUAAAACCGCAUAGGUCUUCGAGCCGCAUGGCUUGAAGAGGAAAAGAGGCGCAAGCUUCUGCUGAUGGAUGGACCCGCGGUGCAUUAGCUAGUUGGUGAGGUAACGGCUCACCAAGGCCGUGAUGCAUAGCCGACCUGAGAGGGUGAUCGGCCACAUUGGGACUGAGACACGGCCCAAACUCCUACGGGAGGCAGCAGUAGGGAAUCUUCCGCAAAGGACGCAAGUCUGACGGAGCAACGCCGCGUGAGUGAAGAAGGUUUUCGGAUCGUAAAACUCUGUUGUUAGAGAAGAACAAGUGCUAGAGUAACUGUUAGCGCCUUGACGGUAUCUAACCAGAAAGCCACGGCUAACUACGUG